RNAcentral lists this long non-coding RNA (330 nucleotides) under Microcebus murinus (gray mouse lemur). RNAcentral's name for it is "lncRNA (ENSMICG00000048243.1)". Lineage: Eukaryota; Metazoa; Chordata; Mammalia; Primates; Cheirogaleidae. The record is from RNAcentral.
AUUUUGUUUAAUUUCCUUUUUUCUCUGCAGCCGAGGACGGUGAAAUCCAGAACUGCUGGCACUGGAAGCCGGCACUGGCGACUCCUGGUCCAGUUUUCCACUAACACAUCGUGUUUCCUCUCUUCCUGUGAAAUUCUUAAAACUUCUAGUCCACCCAAGAGCUCCAUGUGAGAGAAAAGAACAAAACCAGCCUCAAGUUUACAAGAUGAAAAGGUCAUGAGAACACAUUAAGGGAAGUAAAAAGCAGAGACUCCUUUCUCCACUGCUGGGAGCCCUGCCGACAGCAUGGUUACACUAAAAGCACACAUUGCUCAAAAGGCAUACAAAUGG